CAGCCGCCGCGGGAAAACAGAGGGUGCGAGCGUUAAUCGGAUUUACUGGGCGUAAAGCGUGCGUAGGCGGCUAAUUGAGUCGGAUGUGAAAUCCCCGAGCUUAACUUGGGAAUUGCAUUCGAUACUGGUUAGCUAGAGUGUGGGAGAGGAUGGUAGAAUUCCAGGUGUAGCGGUGAAAUGCGUAGAGAUCUGGAGGAAUACCGAUGGCGAAGGCAGCCAUCUGGCCUAACACUGACGCUGAGGUACGAAAGCAUGGGGAGCAAACAGGAUUAGAUACCCCUGUAGUCCCUGUCUCUUAUAC
Molecule: ribosomal RNA, 301 nt
Filed under: uncultured bacterium
Lineage: Bacteria
Description: partial 16S ribosomal RNA
Rfam family: Bacterial small subunit ribosomal RNA
Source: RNAcentral